This 2807-nucleotide ribosomal RNA is filed under the name Vibilia antartica. RNAcentral's name for it is "partial 28S ribosomal RNA". It matches the Rfam family "Eukaryotic large subunit ribosomal RNA", at positions 79 to 1870 of the family's 3401-position model. Lineage: Eukaryota; Metazoa; Arthropoda; Malacostraca; Amphipoda; Vibiliidae. The record is from RNAcentral.
CUUAGUAGUGGCGAACGAAAAGGGAACAGCCCAUCGCAUAAUCUCCCGGGUUACCAAGCCUGCGGCGAAAUGUUGCGUUAAAGGAAAGGUCGUUCAUGUCUCGCUCACCCGUUUGAUUGUGCCUAACAGAGUCUUGAAUUAUUCUCGCUCGUUGAGUACUUUACAUGUCUUUCGGGAUUGUAAACGCUCAACACACGGUUCCAUGGAGGGUGCAAGUCCCGUAUGGCCGCGGUUGAGUGGGCGAAGGCUAGGCCUCUUUUCCUCGAGAGUCGCGUUGCUUGAACAUGCAGCGCUAAGCAGGAGGUAAACUCCUCCUAAGGCUAAAUAUGUCCACAGAACCGAUAGCUAACAAGUACCGCGAGGGAAAGUUGAAAAGUACUCUGGAGAGAGGGUGCAAAGACCGUGAAACCAUCCAGGGCAAAAGCCAAUGUCGAGUAUCCUAGUUGCGCUGGGACCGCCCUUCGCCGGGUGUUACCAAUCUCGUUUGUCGGGUCUCAAAGUAGAGGCUUGCAUUCGUAAGUAGAUUGGUUUCAGUGUCCAUUAACAGCCCGCCGCAACUCUUGCGAGGUCUCUCGCGGUUGCCGAGUGUUGGCACAUCUCGUUGUUCACUCAAAGGUUUGAAGUCGUUGGGAGUCGUGUCUUGGCAGAAUCAUCCUAGUACCACACGUGAUAGUAUCUGUGUGCGAAGCGAUGCUGCUGAACGCGUCGGUACAAAAAACUCCUAUGACUUUUUGCUGGAGCUUCGAUAACCAACGCAUACUGGUAGCCAAUGCGUGAAUGAUCCUUCUGUGAGAAGUUGGUUCAGACAAGUCCUUAUUCAUUUAAGGCAACGGCGGAAACUUGCCUAGGUGACAUUGGUCACGUCUCGAAACACGGGCCAAGGAGCAUAGCGUAAAGGCGAGUCUUAGGGUUUCACUAAACCCGGUGGCGAGUGAAAGCGAGUGGCGUACCCUUGUGGUGCGUUGACGUUGCGGUUUGAGGGUUCCGUCCUUGCGGCGAGCUCGAGACGUUUCGUUGCUUUGUCACAGCUGAUCCUUAAGUUCAUUGAACAACAAGGCGCAAGCUGCAAGCUUACUCAUAGUUCAGUGCUCGGUGCUUCGGCAUUGAUGUCUCUGGCAGGGGAAGCAUUGUCUAGACUUUCCGCUAUGACCCGAAAGAUAGUGAACUAUGCUUGACGAAGACGAAGCCCCAGGAAACUGUGGUGGAAGUCUGUAGCCGUUGUGACGUGCAAAUCCAUGGCGUCAGUUGAGUAUAGGGGCGAAAGACCAAUCGAACUAUCUAGUAGCUGGUUCCAUUCGAAGUUUCUCUCAGGAUAGCUUGAGCGACAUGACAACGCUAACGAGUCUGAACAGUGAGGUGCUUAUACCAUCUCUCUCGUUCGCCCGUGUCUGCAGUUGUUGAGAGCACAUUAAUAGCCGUGAGCUCUAGUAAACUCACUCUUAGCAGACGAUGGGUAGCGUAUCACAUACGUUCCUUGGCAGUUACGUCUGGUAAAGAGAAUGAGUAGAGUUGGCUCGUUGUUCUUUUGUAACAACAGCAGCGGGGCGUUCUACGCCUCGCACUAUUAUCAAACUUUAAAUGGGCGAGGAACCAGGCAUUAUCUUAAUUGCUUGAUGCCUGGGCGUAGUCGGUUGAGAGCGACGCGGUUUCGUGCCGAGUUUGUCUCAGAUGAGAAUGCGUGCGCUUUAAGUGGGUCCUUUCUGGUAAGCAGAACUGAUAAUGAGGGAUGAACCUAACGCAUAUGCUAAGGGGUCAAAAAGACAGCUAUUUCUCGAAACCAUUGGAAAGGUGUUGCUUGCUAAAGACAGCAGGACGGUGGUCAUGGAAGUUGACAUCCGCUAAGGAGUGUGUAACAACUCAUCCUGCCGAAGCGAGUAACCCUGAAAAUGGAUGACUCUAUAGCUCUCUCCCGAUGCAUAGCCGUCAAAGCACGAGUGACAUUUCUUGUCUCAAGGCAUUGACGAGUAGAAUGGUGUGCUGGUGCGCGUCGAAGUCAUUUGCGUGAGCAUUGACGGAGCCGCCAGUAGUACAGAUCUUGGUGGUAGUAGCAAGUACUCUGGUGAAUAACCUUGAGCUGUGAGGCUGAUAAGGGUUCCGCGUCAACAGCGUUUGUACGCGGGUAAGCCGAUCCUAAGCUCCCUUUAUCUCAUAAAGGUAAUUGCGAAUGCACGGAACUAUGACUCAAGUUACACUAGAGGAUGUCAGUUUUGUAACUGCUACCUUCUCCUUGAUGUUGGUGAUAACACUCUUAUCUCAUCCAUGCACUCACGCCUCUGUUUGUUGUUGAACGUGGUACGCUUGGGUAAAAUCUUGCGUUCCAUUACUAGCCAUUAAAACUUUGAUGUGUUUGCUUGGCUCUGGGUAGUAGUACCUUUACCAACUUGAUAAGAGAUACCUGCUGUUUUAUUCCUCUAACUAACACACAUGAGUCAUACUCUGUCGUCGCUUGGCGAAAGGGAAAUAUGAACUCAGUUCAUAUGCCUCUCCUGGCACCCUGAGACGGUUCACCGUAUCACGAUCCUAGCAAUAGAUGCCAGGCCAGUCGUUGUCAUAAGUAGCUCGGCAGGGAGAUUUCUUCUCUCUUUGAUAAGACGUCCGACCCUGGAAACACCUCGCGUGGAGGAAGGGUGAUGUCUUGGCCUAGCAGAGUAGUCCUCUCCCUAGACUAGUUCGACGCUACUUGUGACCCGUGAAAAGGUGGUCGAGGGGAUUGAAAUGUACGCACUGCCCCCGGGCAGAGGUACUUUCACACUUAACACGAGUGUUUGCCACGGAGUGUUCGUACCCAUUUCCGCAUCCGUCUCAAA